UAGGGAAUAUUGGUAAUGUGCGAAAGCGCGAACCAGCAACGCCGCGUGCACGAUGAAGGCCUUCGGGUCGUAAAGUGCUUUUAGAGAGGAUGAGGAAGGACAGUACUUUCUGAGUAAGCCUCGGCUAACUACGUGCCAGCAGCCGCGGUAAAACGUAGGAGGCAAGCGUUAUCCGGAUUUACUGGGCGUAAAGCGCAUGCAGGUGGUUUUGUAAGUUGGAUGUGAAAGCUCCUGGCUUAACUGGGAGAGGUCGUUCAAAACUACAAGACUUGAGAUUGGUAGAGGAAAAUGGAAUUCCGGGUGUAGUGGUGAAAUGCGUAGAUAUCCGGAGGAACACCAGUGGCGAGAGCGGUUUUCUGGACCAAUUCUGACACUCAGAUGCGAAAGCUAAGGUAGCAAACG
This 402-nucleotide ribosomal RNA is filed under the name uncultured bacterium. RNAcentral describes it as "bacterial SSU rRNA". It matches the Rfam family "Bacterial small subunit ribosomal RNA", at positions 355 to 774 of the family's 1533-position model. The record is from RNAcentral.